CAACUUUUGACGGUGGAUCUCUUGGCUCACGCAUCGAUGAAGUACGCAGCCAGCUGCGAUAAGUAGUGUGAAUUGCAGAAUUCAGUGAAUCAUCGAAUCUUUGAACGCAAAUGGCGCUCUUGGGUUCUCCCAGGAGCAUGUCUGUCUGAGUGUCGGAU
Molecule: ribosomal RNA, 158 nt
Filed under: Diploastrea heliopora
Lineage: Eukaryota; Metazoa; Cnidaria; Anthozoa; Scleractinia; Diploastraeidae
Description: 5.8S ribosomal RNA
Rfam family: 5.8S ribosomal RNA
About the family: 5.8S ribosomal RNA (5.8S rRNA) is a component of the large subunit of the eukaryotic ribosome. It is transcribed by RNA polymerase I as part of the 45S precursor that also contains 18S and 28S rRNA.
Source: RNAcentral